This 499-nucleotide ribosomal RNA is filed under the name uncultured bacterium. RNAcentral's name for it is "bacterial SSU rRNA". It matches the Rfam family "Bacterial small subunit ribosomal RNA", at positions 8 to 518 of the family's 1533-position model. The record is from RNAcentral.
AGAGUUUGAUCCUGGACUUAGGACGAACGCUGGCGGCACGCUUAACACAUGCAAGUCGAACGGAGUUAUCGAGAGCUUGCUUUUGAUAACUUAGUGGCGGACGGGUGAGUAACACGUGAGCAAUCUGCCCUUAAGAGGGGGAUAGCAGUUGGAAACGACUGAUAAUACCGCAUAAGAUAGUAGUACCGCAUGGUACAGCUAUAAAAGAUUUAUCGCUUAAGGAUGAGCUCGCGUCUGAUUAGCUAGUUGGUGAGGUAACGGCUCACCAAGGCAACGAUCAGUAGCCGGACUGAGAGGUUGGACGGCCACAUUGGGACUGAGACACGGCCCAGACUCCUACGGGAGGCAGCAGUGGGGAAUAUUGCACAAUGGAGGAAACUCUGAAUGCAGCGAUGCCGCGUGAGGGAAGAAGGUUUUAGGAUUGUAAACCUCUGUUGACAGGGACGAUAAUGACGGUACCUGUUGAGGAAGCUCCGGCUAACUACGUGCCAGCCGCCGC